Columba livia (rock pigeon) is the source of this 1806-nucleotide long non-coding RNA. RefSeq lists it as uncharacterized. NCBI's taxonomy places the organism in Eukaryota, Metazoa, Chordata, Aves, Columbiformes, Columbidae. The transcript is spliced from 4 exons. The record is from RefSeq and is a predicted model, not a curated record.
AGGCAUCAUCCCUUAACUUCAGUUUCACCAGUUUCUCAAACAGCAGCUUCUUCCAAGCAACUGCCUGUCUGUCUGCAGCGUCUUUGCACAGCUUGUCCCUCUAUGACCAGUUGGAGAAAAACUGUUAUCUCCUUCCUACAGCCAGGGCAUGAAGAGAUAAAAAAGCAAUUCCAGUGCCAAAGCUCAAAGUCUACCUGCCCAGCCUUCAGCCACCACCCUUUCUUAGCAAAAGCUGAUGGUGUCCUAAGCCUGAAACCUCCUCAUGUUUUUCUUGAAGAUUUCCCCAAACAUCCCUACAUGUUCUGUAUUCAGAGACACACAACCACCAACUCGUGUUCCUGCUGAUAGUCACCAAUGAAGGUGCUCAGUGCCCAUUUUCACCUUCAGAGACCACCCUGAAAAGGACCAUGUGCCUAAAGAUGGUCUCAGCUUCUGCUGGAAUGGAGCAGCUGCAGGUUCACAAGCUCCAGUCCCUGAAGGCUUCACAGCAACAGUGCUCUUUUCAGGUUGGAGUCCGGUGCCCGAUGAUGCUGAUACAUGUCUCCUUCUGCUCCCCAGGAGCGCUGGACUGCAGCCCAGAGCUGCAUUUCAGUGGCUCUCUAAAUCACUUAAGGCUUUGGCAAAGUGGGAAAACAGAACAGAAAAUACCAAGAGAGAAGAAGAUUAAGCCUAUUGAACUACACUGUUCAAGAUUGUCUGAACAUACAGCUGGGGACCCACUCAGGAGUCUCAGGGCAAGUAUGGUUUUACCAUGGGAUGUUCUCUGCAGAGCUCUAUGGGAUUAGGUGAACAGGGUUAACUCUUCACGUUCUACUCAACUAUUAACCCCCAGCAAUCUGCUUUUCAUGCUCCUGGGCUUCUCUGAGUUCAAGGGGUAAGACAGAAUUUAGGCUAAAGGCUCAUUUCUGCCAGAUUUGGGCCCUGGCUGCACAUAGUCUGCUCCUUUCAUCCAUCUAGUGACUUCAAGCAGACAGGAUGCUUCAAGUCAGACAGAGCAGCCUGGUUGAUUAUUCUGCAAAUAUUUUGCUUUUUCAGAUUUGCUUACAUAUCAAAAUAUGGGUUUAGCUGAUAAAAGCCAACAGCUCCAUCAGAGUCCAUUACAAUCUAUCAGGCAAAUAUUCAGUAAUUUCCAAAUUAGUCCAUGGACAAUGCAUUCAAAUGAUCUUCGUAAUCUCUCUUGUAAAAAAAAAAAAAAUAAUCCACUGUUAUAAGAAUUACCUAAACAUGGAUUUACCAGGCAGAUAUCUUACAAUGUAAAUGACUUGUGUUUGGAUAGGUAGAAUGCAUAUCAAAAUGCAUGCUCAUAUGAGAGACCAUAUUGACUCUUUCCAAGCUGUUAUGGUCUAUUAGAUAAAUAUUAUCUUGGUUCAGGACUGUGGGAGUUUUCUAUAUGCACAGUUUCCUGAUAAGCCAUAUGGACUCUCAGAUAAAAUUGUGUCUUCCGAUUUAGAAAGUGAUAUGGCCGAAAAGCUGUAAUGAGUAUGAGAAAGCUCCUGUUAACCAAUUAAUCAGAAUGUGUCACUGAAUGCCCCCUCCCCUUUUUGUGGUAGUAUGUGCUAUAACAUACAUCCAGUAAACAUGCAUUUCUCAGCGGUAUUUUGACAAUACCCACAUGCCAAGGGCAUAGCAACCAAUCCUUGUACAACAGUUGUGGCUUUAUUCGUAUCCCUAUGUUACUGUGAUUCCAGUCAUCUUUCUGUUUAUUUCCCCUCUUGUUAAUACAAAUGCAUGUAAACUUACAACCACGGCUCACCAAUAUUAACAGAAAGAACUUCACUGAUUUCAAAGGCAUGAGCUUCAGUCACA